Molecule: ribosomal RNA, 496 nt
Filed under: uncultured bacterium
Lineage: Bacteria
Description: partial 16S ribosomal RNA
Rfam family: Bacterial small subunit ribosomal RNA
Source: RNAcentral
ACGAACGCUGGCGGCGUGCCUAAUACAUGCAAGUAGAACGCUGAAGAGAGGAGCUUGCUCUUCUUGGAUGAGUUGCGAACGGGUGAGUAACGCGUAGGUAACCUGCCUUGUAGCGGGGGAUAACUAUUGGAAACGAUAGCUAAUACCGCAUAACAAUGGAUGACACAUGUCAUUUAUUUGAAAGGGGCAAUUGCUCCACUACAAGAUGGACCUGCGUUGUAUUAGCUAGUAGGUGAGGUAAUGGCUCACCUAGGCGACGAUACAUAGCCGACCUGAGAGGGUGAUCGGCCACACUGGGACUGAGACACGGCCCAGACGCCUACGGGAGGCAGCAGUAGCGAAUCUUCGGCAAUGGGGGCAACCCUGACCGAGCAACGCCGAGUGAGUGAAGAAGGUUUUCGGAUCGUAAAGCUCUGUUGUAAGUCAAGAACGGGUGUGAGAGUGGAAAGUUCACACUGUGACGGUAGCUUAACAGAAAGGGACGGCUAACUACGUG